RNAcentral lists this unclassified non-coding RNA (382 nucleotides) under soil metagenome. Its description in RNAcentral is "partial contains 5.8S ribosomal RNA, internal transcribed spacer 2, and large subunit ribosomal RNA". The stretch from base 1 to 120 matches the Rfam family "5.8S ribosomal RNA", at positions 35 to 154 of the family's 154-position model. The record is from RNAcentral.
GAUGAAGAACGUAGCGAAAUGCGAUAAGUAAUGUGAAUUGCAGAAUUCAGUGAAUCAUCGAAUCUUUGAACGCACCUUGCACCCUUUGGCAUUCCGAAGGGUAUGCUCGUUUGAGUGUCAUUGUACUCUCACACUUCUGAUCCUUUGGAUUGGGAGCGGUGGACUUGGGUGUUGCUGCUUUACUGUGGCUCACCUCAAAUGCAUUCGUGCAACUCUUGGUUGGACAUAGUACGGCGUGAUAAGUAUCUUCGCCGGCACCUCGCAAGAGGGUGGCUGAUCAGGAGCUCUGUGCUUUCCAACUGUCUUCAGACAACAACUGACAACUUGACCUCAAAUCGAGUAGGACCACCCGCUGAACUUAAGCAAAUCAAUAAGCGGAGGA